GGAGGAAAGCAGGGGAUCGUAAGACCUUGCGCUUUUGGAGUGGCCGAUGCCUGAUUAGCUAGUUGGUGGGGUAAGAGCCUACCAAGGCGACGAUCAGUAGUUGGUCUGAGAGGACGACCAGCCACACUGGGACUGAGACACGGCCCAGACUCCUACGGGAGGCAGCAGUGGGGAAUUUUGGACAAUGGGCGAAAGCCUGAUCCAGCAAUGCCGCGUGAGUGAAGAAGGCCUUCGGAUUGUAAAGCUCUUUCAGUCGAGAAGAAAAGGUUGUGACUAAUAAUCACAACUCAUGACGGUAUCGACAGAAGAAGCACCGGCUAACUACGUGCCAGCAGCCGCGGUAAUACGUAGGGUGCGAGCGUUAAUCGGAAUUACUAGGCGUAAAGGGUGCGCAGGCGGCUUUGUAAGUCAGAUGUGAAAUCCCCGGGCUUAACCUGGGAAUUGCGUUUGAAACUACAAGGCUAGA
RNAcentral lists this ribosomal RNA (466 nucleotides) under uncultured ammonia-oxidizing beta proteobacterium. Its description in RNAcentral is "bacterial SSU rRNA". It matches the Rfam family "Bacterial small subunit ribosomal RNA", at positions 198 to 645 of the family's 1533-position model. The record is from RNAcentral. Lineage: Bacteria; Pseudomonadati; Pseudomonadota; Betaproteobacteria.